This is a long non-coding RNA of Cyanistes caeruleus (blue tit), 1735 nucleotides long. The record is from Ensembl. NCBI's taxonomy places the organism in Eukaryota, Metazoa, Chordata, Aves, Passeriformes, Paridae.
GUUGCAGGAAAAUGCACUUGGCUACUGCCAGAAUGGAAAUCUAUUGAGGAUGAUGCCAUGUUUAUUUUAAGGAAACAAGCCUGGCUCCUGUUAUCCAUGCUUGCUCUUCUAAGUGAGACUUCUUUUCCCUUGGACAGCGUGAACCACGUUUUUGCUUGGUACCCAGGGAGGCAGUGGGGACACCAGAAGAGAACUGCUAGCCACAGUGGCCAUGUGUGCCUGGGUCACCUGAGGACUUGCAGGGGUCAGGCAGACAUCAGUCAGAUAAAAUCUGUUUGCCCUGCCUUGUGCCUCUAAAUGUUACACUCAUGUUUAAAUAACUCACAGCCUCUCUCCCUGAAGGUGGUCAUGGGGCAACCGUACCCCAGUGAGAGGAGAUCAGCAAGCUGGGAAAACAGAAAAUCAUCCUUUAUGCCCGUGAAGACUUGGUGGAAGCUAUAUUUCUACAUGGGUUGUGUUUUGGGGCUCUGGGAUGCAGGGGGAUGCUUUCCCCAGUACUCACAAGCAGGUGGAAGCUUUCUGCAUCUUUUGGCCAGGGAAGUUUUCUGGAAGGGGGGCUGGUGCCAUGGGUCCCAGUCUUCCAUGGCUCCCAGCGAGGAGAUGGACAAAUUAGGGAGGGAUGGCAGUCAGCGUGGCUGCAUGCAGGAUCUUUGCUCACUUUGCUGCUUGUGCCAUUGCUGCAGCUGCUGCCUGCAAAGUUUUGUUUUUUUUUUGUGGUGGUGGCAGAGUGCCUGAGGGGCAGUGGGACACCCCUGCUUUGGCAGAGGGCUCCAGCUGUAGCUGCAGCUCUGCAGCAGAAGGGAAAAGGAGGGGGAGCAGAGGGAGAGAGUACUAGGGCAAAUUCCUAGGAGUGCGUGCACUGGUCUAGACCUUUCCUCCCUUCACUGUAACCUCUGUCUUCCAGCCAUGGCUUCCUGCUUGCAUUAAUUACUCCUCACUCCCUAGAUGCAUUCAUUUCAAGCUACCUUUAGGGUUUAGAGUGCGGAAGCCGGUUGACCAAGGUUGAAGGCAAUUAACAAACAGGUUAUUCUAAAUUAACAGCUUCUUUUAACCAGCUGUCCAGAACUGCUUUGUUUUUCUACAGGAAAAUUAGCAAGGCAAUGCACCUCAGCGAAAAGAUGGAUCGGGAUUUCUUUUGUUAUUGUACUGCCUUUUGCUUCUUUCCUUUUUUUCCCCCUCUUUUAAACUUGUGCCAAUUCAAUACUAAGCACUUCCAGCUUGGAUUUAAAAGGAGUGUUGAAAUAUACUGAUUGCCUAAAUGAAUUGUAAAUGGCAUAGGAUGUUGAGAAAGAGCAGUCCUUUUACUUCCAUUGGCUAUCUUGCACUACAUCAAGAUGGGUUUGCUUUUGAAUGGCGUAUUAAGAUGCCAGUGCUUUCUUCAGGCAUUGAUUUUUAUUUUUUUCUGUCUUGCCUUCCCUCUUCACACAGAUGCUUUUUGCACGGCUGCUAACUGACUUCACUGCUUCAUGAGGCAGUGGAUUUGCAGACAGGAGCAGGCUCAGCCCAUACCCUGAGCCCAGCCAGGAGCCAUGAGGAUGGUGCAAAGCAAAGCUCAGGCUCGUAGGCUUUGAUUCCUGCAAGAGCUUGUUAGCUCAGCCUGGGUGCUCUAAACACACUUUUCUGAUCAGCAGAGAGUGUGAAGUGAUCGAGCUGUUCCCAGAAAUCUGGGAAGAAGAAAGUGCUGUUAAAUCUUUUAAUACUUCCAGAAAUCUUCUCUUUUCUGUGGGUUUUACUA